AACCUCCGACCGGGUGACCAAAAUGUGUUAAAAAUUCCUUAGAAUGUGUACUGUUUUGUAGGUGUGAAGGAACGACUAUUCGAUAACCAUGAGAUAUUUACCUCUGAUUCCAUUAAAGGUAGGAAAUUAUGAGAAAACCUAUCAUAAUGCAGCAAUAAGUUGAGAUAGGAGGCGGCAGUUAGAGUUACUCUUAACUAAAUAUCCAUGUCCCUACUACCCAAAAAUAUUCACGCCCUCUGUUCCAAUGUACUGACAGCAGUAAAAUAGGGUUGGAAUCUGGAAACCACAAAGUUCAAUAGAUGAUUGUGUGGCUGUCAAUGCAUUGGAAUAACAGAAUUGGCAUUUUUCGGUACAAAAAUUGUGCGCUGAAUACUUUUUAAUUUCAGAAUUCUCUUGCAGCAUUAGUUUAACAUUAUGGUAAUCUUACACGGAUAUAUAAUGCCUCUGUUAAAAUUCACUCUUGUAUUUUCUUUAUUUCCAAGCGGCACCAGUGUACACCUAUUUGAAGGCAUGCAGCAGUUGCAGAGGUAACUAAAUUGCAACCCUAAUACACUCCUACCCCCAAUCAAAGCCAGUGGCUGUCGGAGAGGCACGACUAAACGCAAGCGUGACUGCUUGGUGUGGUCAGAUUAUUCUCACGACUGAGUUCUAUGGGUGACCAGGUGCACAUUCCCAUAUCCCUCUUAACCUUUCUUCUAAUUCAACACUCUUCUUGAUAACAUAUCUUCAUUUUUCCGUAUGUUCCCCCGCUUAAUUGUUGAAAUCAGGCAAACUCUCAAAUGAGUUGUCGUAACUUGCAUCUAAAUGGAAAAUCUGAAAUUGUUCUAUACCAUUAGUGAUAAUGGCUAAAGUCAUGGAUGAGAAAUUCUGGUACACUUCUAUCACUUGUACAGAAAAUUAAUUUAAAAAGGAAAACUGAAAGUUUAUAACACAUGUACUGCGCAUGUAACUUAGAUAUCAAGAAAUGGCAAUUAGAUGUUUUGAUCAGUUUGCAAUUAUGUAUCCUGCUUACGUUCUUUGUUUCUGCUAGCCACUGCAAUUAUAUGACAGUGACUUGUGUUCGUCUCCAAAAUAGGAAACAAGAAGAAACAUUCAGGUAUGACUUCGUUUUGUUUAGGUUGUAUGUAAUCUGUGUUUUGGUGUGAUUGAAAACUGAAUAUCUCAAUCCCCCCACCCCACUCCACCCCACCCCUCAAAAAAAAAAAAAAUCUUUCUUAUUUAUGUCUGACAACUUAUUGAUGAACUUAAAUAUGAUGUUGCAUGGUGUCGUCGUGGCUGUUACAGUUGCUAAAGCAGUUUGGAAAGCAUUAUUUGUGAGUCCUGCAACGAGUGCUCCUGGUUAGAUAGGACACAGGAGGCGCUGAAGUGGUCUUGUCUUGACUGUGUUUUUGUAGUUUGGUGUUACAUACAACUAGGGGCUGUAAAUUCGGACUGCCCGGCCCGGACCAUGUGUCAGGCUCCUGGAAUGCCCAGGCUCGGGCACAGGCUUCUGGUGAUACUUGGG
RNAcentral lists this long non-coding RNA (1504 nucleotides) under Actinidia chinensis (golden kiwifruit). Its description in RNAcentral is "long non-coding RNA (ACHI_LNC004013)". Lineage: Eukaryota; Viridiplantae; Streptophyta; Magnoliopsida; Ericales; Actinidiaceae. The record is from RNAcentral.